CCCCUUAGAGUUUGAUCCUGGCUCAGGAUGAACGCUAGCGGCAGGCUUAAUACAUGCAAGUCAGGGGGCCAGCAAUGGCACCGGCGGACGGGUGAGUAACGCGUACACAACGUACCUUUAACUGGGGGAUAGCAUCUGGAAACGGGUGGUAAUACCGCAUGUGGUUGCGGGGAGGCAUCUCCUUGUAACUAAAACUUUGGUGGUUAGAGAUCGGUGUGCGUCUGAUUAGCUAGUUGGUAGGGUAGAGGCCUACCAAGGCGACGAUCAGUAGGGGGCGUGAGAGCGUGAACCCCCACACGGGUACUGAGACACGGACCCGACUCCUACGGGAGGCAGCAGUAAGGAAUAUUGGUCAAUGGAGGGAACUCUGAACCACCCAUGCCGCGUGAAGGAAGAAGGCGCUACGCGUUGUAAACUUCUUUUGGGUGGGACGAAAAUAAUCCAUUUAUGGAUAGCUGACGGUACCAUCAGAAUAAGCACCGGCUAACUCCGUGCCAGCAGCCGCGGUAAUACGGAGGGUGCAAGCGUUAAUCGGAAUUACUGGGCGUAAAGCGUGCGCAGGCUGUUAUGUAAGACAGAGGUGAAAUCCCCGCGCUCAACCUGGGAACUGCCUUUGUGACUGCAUAGCUGGAGUGCGGCAGAGGGGGAUGGAAUUCCGCGUGUAGCAGUGAAAUGCGUAGAUAUGCGGAGGAACACCGAUGGCGAAGGCAAUCCCCUGGGCCUGCACUGACGCUCAUGCACGAAGGCGUGGGGAGCAAACAGGAUUAGAUACCCUAGUAGUCCACGCCCUAAACGAUGUCAAGUGGGGGUGGGUUGGGGUUCUUCACUGACUCAGUAACCGAGCUACGCGUGUAGGUCGACGCCUGGGGAGUACGGCGCAAGAUACACUCAAGAUCGACAGCACGCAACGCGGAAAGAUGAGGGUUUAUAUCCGAUGCAACAGCAAAAAUCGCUACCCUAUCUGUGAUACGACAGAUGGUACU
Molecule: ribosomal RNA, 983 nt
Filed under: uncultured bacterium
Lineage: Bacteria
Description: bacterial SSU rRNA
Rfam family: Bacterial small subunit ribosomal RNA
Source: RNAcentral